RNAcentral lists this ribosomal RNA (429 nucleotides) under Bacteroidota bacterium. Its description in RNAcentral is "Bacteroidetes bacterium partial 16S ribosomal RNA". It matches the Rfam family "Bacterial small subunit ribosomal RNA", at positions 355 to 776 of the family's 1533-position model. The record is from RNAcentral. Lineage: Bacteria; Pseudomonadati; Bacteroidota.
UAGGGAAUCUUCCGCAAUGGACGCAAGUCUGACGGAGCAACGCCGCGUGAGUGAAGAAGGAUUUCGGUUCGUAAAACUCUGUUGUUAGAGAAGAACAGCGCAUAGAGUAACUGUUAUGCGUGUGACGGUAUCUAACCAGAAAGCCCCGGCUAACUACGUGCCAGCAGCCGCGGUAAUACGUAGGUGGCAAGCGUUGUCCGGAUUUAUUGGGCGUAAAGCGAGCGCAGGCGGUCAAUUAAGUCUGAUGUGAAAGCCCCCGGCUCAACCGGGGAGGGUCAUUGGAAACUGGUUGACUUGAGUGCAGAAGAGGAGAGUGGAAUUCCAUGUGUAGCGGUGAAAUGCGUAGAUAUAUGGAGGAACACCAGUGGCGAAGGCGACUCUCUGGUCUGUAACUGACGCUGAGGCUCGAAAGCGUGGGUAGCAAACAGG